AGUGAACGCUGGCAGCGUGCUUAACACAUGCAAGUCGAACGAGAACGGGUUAUAGCUUGCUAUAAUUGUCAGCUAAGUGGCGCACGGGUGAGUAAUGUAUAGGUAAUAUGCCUCUUACUAAGGGAUAACAAAUGGAAACGUUUGCUAAUACCUUAUACUCCUUAUUAACAGAAGUUAAUAAGGGAAAGAUUUAUUGGUAAGAGAUUAGCCUGUAUUGUAUCAGUUAGUUGGUGGGGUAAUGGCUUACCAAGACUAUGACACAUAACUGGUUUGAGAGGAUGAUCAGUCACACUGGAACUGAGACACGGUCCAGACUCCUACGGGAGGCAGCAGUGGGGAAUAUUGCACAAUGGACGAAAGUCUGAUGCAGCAACGCCGCGUGGAGGAUGACACAUUUCGGUGCGUAAACUCCUUUUAUAUGAGAAGAUAAUGACGGUACCUGGAGAAUAAGCUCCGGCUAACUCCGUGCCAGCAGCCGCGGUAA
Molecule: ribosomal RNA, 484 nt
Filed under: uncultured bacterium
Lineage: Bacteria
Description: partial 16S ribosomal RNA
Rfam family: Bacterial small subunit ribosomal RNA
Source: RNAcentral